GGAACGUAAACCUCUGUUGUUCAUGACGAACGAGCUUUUUAUCAACAACGAAGAGCAGUGACGGUAGUGAACGAGGAAGCCACGGCUAACUACGUGCCAGCAGCCGCGGUAAUACGUAGGUGGCAAGCGUUGUCCGGAAUUAUUGGGCGUAAAGCGCAUGUAGGCGGUUUGGUAAGUCGGUCGUGAAAAUGCGGUGCUUAACGCCGUAUGGCGAUCGAAACUGCGGAACUUGAGUGCAGGAGAGGAAAGGGGAACUCCCAGUGUAGCGGUGAAAUGCGUAGAUAUUGGGAAGAACACCGGUGGCGAAGGCGCCUUUCUGGACUGUGUCUGACGCUCAGAUGCGAAAGCCAGGGUAGCGAACGGGAUUAGAUACCCCGGUAGUCCUGGCCGUAAA
RNAcentral lists this ribosomal RNA (394 nucleotides) under uncultured bacterium. RNAcentral's name for it is "bacterial SSU rRNA". It matches the Rfam family "Bacterial small subunit ribosomal RNA", at positions 420 to 806 of the family's 1533-position model. The record is from RNAcentral.